UAAUGCUCCAUAGUGGAUAUGUCCUGGAAUGGUAUAUCCUCGAAAGAUCCGUCGCCUUAGGAUGGGACUGCGUCCGAUUAGAUUGUUGGCGGGGUAACGGCCCACCAAGCCUUUUAUCGGUACGGGUUGUGGGAGCAAGAUCCCGGAGAUGGAUUCUGAGACAUGAAUCCAGGCCCUACGGGGCGCAGCAGGCGCGCAAACUUUACAAUGCGAGCAAUCGUGAUAAGGAAACCCUGAGUGCCUGUCGAUGCAGGCUGUUCAUAUAUCUAAAUCAUAUGUGAAGAAAGGGCAGGGCAAGACCGGUGCCAGCCGCCGCGGUAAUACCGGCUGCUCGAGUGAUGGCCACUAUUACUGGGUUUAAAGCGUCCGUAGCUUGACUGUUAGGUCUCUUGGGAAAUCUUCACGCUCAACGUGAAGGCGUCUAAGAGAUACCGGCAGUCUUGGAACUGGGAGAGGUAAACCGUACUUCGGGGGUAGGAGUGAAAUCUUGUAAUCCUCGAGGGACGACCUAUGGCGAAGGCAGUUUACCAGAACAGCUUCGACAGUGAGGGACGAAAGCUGGGGGAGCAAACGGGAUUAGAUACCCCGGUAGUCCCAGCCGUAAACAAUGUGCGUUAGGUGU
This 622-nucleotide ribosomal RNA is filed under the name uncultured archaeon. RNAcentral describes it as "bacterial SSU rRNA". It matches the Rfam family "Archaeal small subunit ribosomal RNA", at positions 147 to 774 of the family's 1478-position model. The record is from RNAcentral.